This 475-nucleotide ribosomal RNA is filed under the name Periphetes sp. SB0293. Its description in RNAcentral is "partial large subunit ribosomal RNA". It matches the Rfam family "Bacterial large subunit ribosomal RNA", at positions 1920 to 2611 of the family's 2925-position model. The record is from RNAcentral. Lineage: Eukaryota; Metazoa; Arthropoda; Insecta; Phasmatodea; Lonchodidae.
AUUUUUAAUGGCCGCGGUAUUUUGACCGUGCAAAGGUAGCAUAAUCAUUAGUUUUUUAAUUGAUAACUUGUAUGAAUGGUUUGACGAAGCAUUGACUGUCUCUUAUUUAUAUAUAUAAAUUAAAUUUUGAGUUAAAAUGCUUAAAUUUUAUUAUUGGACGAGAAGACCCUAUAGAUCUUUAUUUAUUUUAUUUUAUAUUAUUUGGUUUUUAUUUUUAUAUGUUAUUUAUAAUUUUGUUGGGGUGACAUGAAGAUAUAAAUAACUCUUUAUUUUAAAUUACAUUUAUUUAUGAAUUUUUGAACUUAUUUUAUUGUUAAAAGAUUAGAUACCUUAGGGAUAACAGCGUAAUUUUUUUUGAGAGUUCAUAUUGACGAGAAAGAUUGCGACCUCGAUGUUGGAUUAAGAUAAGUUCUAGGUGUAGUGGCUUAUGACUGUUAGGUCUGUUCGACCUUUAAAUUCUUACAUGAUCUGAGUU